AUGCGUGCCCCGGUUGUGGGUCCUGGCCGUCCUCGGCGUCGUGUCCUAAAGGUGCACAAGAGACCUCGUCUCCACUCCAAGGCCAUUUGUACUGGCAUGGAGGUUGCUUGCCGGCCAUCCAUGAUGGUAAAGACCACCAGCGGCAGCAGGGCCAGCAAGACGGCGGCCACCAUCAACCGCUUCUUCCUGUCCCCAUCACCUUCCUUCAGCCUUCUCCCACCGUCGCCAAUCAAGUUCAAAUCUGUCACAAAAAGAAAAGCUUUGAUGUUGGCUGCAGUGGAUGGAUAUCAAUGGCAUGAUGGCAUGGACGGUGGCAUCCUUCCUCAGAUUUGGUGUGCAAAGGCACAAUUUCCUUCUAGGGCUUCAUCUGCAAAUCCACAAAAGUAUGAAAGGAUCAACUUGUCGAAGUGGUAG
RNAcentral lists this ribosomal RNA (414 nucleotides) under Triticum aestivum (bread wheat). RNAcentral describes it as "partial small subunit ribosomal RNA". The record is from RNAcentral. Lineage: Eukaryota; Viridiplantae; Streptophyta; Magnoliopsida; Poales; Poaceae.